This is a long non-coding RNA of Triticum aestivum (bread wheat), 3747 nucleotides long. RefSeq lists it as uncharacterized. The record is from RefSeq and is a predicted model, not a curated record. NCBI's taxonomy places the organism in Eukaryota, Viridiplantae, Streptophyta, Magnoliopsida, Poales, Poaceae. The transcript is spliced from 3 exons.
AUGCCCCUUCCCCUCCAGCUCUUCCUCUCGGGUCCCAACCCUGGGCUAGGGUUCCAUACGCUGCCGCCUUUGGGCAGACCACGUAAACUGACGUCGAUGUCCGAGAUGAGCGGGCCGCCGCACCGUCUUUCGCCUCCACCGACCUUCGAGACACCCUACCCGUGGGACGACACCGCCGCCGCCUUGCGGAACUUCAGGGCAGGGCAGGGCGUGGUCGCGUUGCGGGCAACGAGGAGCGGCGCCGGCGCGUGCGUAGCCACUUAGCGAGAGAGGAAGGGAGUGUCGGUUGUCCUGAUGCCCCAGCUCCGAUUGUCCUGCCUGGCUGCCUCCCGAAGCCCCCAAAAGAUCCAUCCACAUCCAGUACUGUACCCACAACAAGUUUCUUCAGAUUGCAUUGCAAUUUCUUUACAAGAAUACCCAGGAGCAAAUUCCUGGCUCCGCCACUGAAUGGCGCCCGUGCCUUCGAGUCCCUCGGCAUUCGUGCGGGUGUUCGCAGCGUCGGGCUUGGUCAACGAGUUGAUGGGGUCUUCCGGCGUGACGCACCUGCUGUAGAAGUUGGUGUUCAAGGACACGUGGCACCGGAGCCACUUGCAGAUCACGCGGGAGGUGGAGGCCAUGGGGGGCAACAUCGGCGCCUCCGCGUCCAGGUAGCACUUGGUGCACAGCUACGACAUGCUCUCCAGGCAUACAUACCGCUGGCCGUGCGUUGAACAUGCUUCUUUGAUGAUAAGUAACAGACUUCUUCCUCCAAUGGCUGAAACAAGCUUUGUGAUUUACUCCUCUAAUUCUCUUUUGACAUGCUGAUUAAUUCCUCGCAAUUUUCUAGAGUAAAUCCAUUCUUACAUAUAAAUUAGUACGCUUCAUACUUGAUCUAUAUAUAUGAUCUAUUUAUUCGGUUCUCAUUUGUUGUCAUAAUGUCUCAUAACCUUGUAGUUUCUUCGAACUGGUUCUCAACUAAUGUUGGCCCUGUUAAAGUUUUUUUUAUGGAAGCAUCCAUUCAGUUGUAGUGCUUUUUGUGUGGUGCUUGGUCACCGAAUCAACAUACUUGAAGAGAUAGCUUGCUCUUGUCCUUUACUUUUCCUUUUUAUUUUUUCUAGACAAUGCCUUUAAGAAAUAGGAAAUAUGAAUUCAUAUUAAAAAUGCAAGAAAAUAAUCAGAAGAUGAUUAAGGUUUAGUUUUAGCAAAACAUUUGUACUUAGGAAUACUGUGUGCCUAGCGAAUUUUGACACUCUCUUUCUCCUAACACGUUUCAGGGCCUUCAUUUUCUCGAGUAUGCCGCAGGCUAUGUCGUGCUCUCUUAGAUCACACCUCCUACACGCCCCUCAUGGCCGCACAUGCUGCUACCUUCCUUGAUGGCCUCUUCGCCACCAGUGUGUGCCGCGACGGCUGUCGUCUCCAUGCCACCCAUCAGUAGCGGUGGCAACUCGACUCUUACCUUAUGCACCCAGACCCAUCUGCUUCUCUUAUUUGAUUUUGUGGGUUGCACUGAUCUCUCUUAGUACAUGUCUAUUUGCAGAGAAAUUAUUUAUAAUUUAGUCUUAAGGGAAGACUGAUCUAGUACUGGAGGUACAUUUCUAAACAUUGUGCUUUUUUCAUCUGUGGGCACUUCACUGAACGAAUUCUGAUCCUCUAGGUCUAUGAAUUGUAUGUUCUGAUUUAUUUUAAGCCGAAAAUUUUGUCACUGUGUCAUUUAUUACAUACAUCUCUCUGGUUCUUCCCCCAAAACUAAUGUCCUUAUCUGCAUUUUUGGUCAACUUCACAUACACAUACACACACAUAUAUAUAUAUACAUGGUUUUGCCAUCUAGCUAGAAGCUCAUUGGUCAAGCAUGCCACAAAACAAAAAGUUAGGCGGUGCAAUGCAUUUCUCGGAAUUAACAACAGAUAGGAGAGUUGCUAAUUCACUUCUAAUGAAUGUGCUAUGGAACCCCUAGCUUGAUUAUUCAUUGGGAAGAAGAGGGCACUACAGUUCUGAUCUGCUAUACUUUUUAGAGACUUUCGAUUUCCUACCUUGGUGCAUGAUGUCUACAUGAAUAUUUUUAUGGAAAGUCUUCUACCGUCAAGCCGCAUGUCGGCGCCUUCGAUGUAGAGUUGAUUAUACUGUCUAUUCUACUGCAAGUAGGGAAAGGUGGCUCCGCGUAUCCAUAUCCUUAGGUGUUAAAUGUAGUUCUAGGACAUAUAGUAUAUGACUGAGUUCUUUCACCUCCUAAUCCCGGGAGUAAUUCAAUUCAAUACUUAGGCAUCCACACUCCUGCUUGAUCUAUGUCCGAGCUCCCUCCUUUGCAUAGCUAAAUCUGAUGGUGACUUACCGGACUAAACGGAAUCGCUAAGUUGAUGUUCCAUGGAAUUGCUAACCACCUCUCAAAGGUUUAAAGUUUGAUCUCUUUGUUAUUGAUCUAAGAGAGAAAUGGGUUCUGCAGCUCUGAUGUGAUAAUAUUUGUAACAAACAAUGACAAAAUCUACACCGUGCACAGACAAUUACUUUGAUGGUUGGGGAAAAUGUAGUCAUUAGUGCCUCUCUUUAAAUUGUACAUGUUGUAAUAUAGAAAAAUUAGAGAAACAUCUUGAGUACCAUGCCCAUGUACAGUGUUACUUACAUUUCAUAUCCCUUAGAUGAGAAUAAUCGAAUGUAUGAAUAUAUGUAUCUUUAGUAGUCAUUUGAUACCUUUUUCUCCAUGUGGAGAGUCCAAUUUGUGAUAUUCAUCAAUGGAACCAAAACAUGUCCACUUUUGCUUCCUAUUUCAAACUGAUAGUGCUUCAUUGAUGGCCUACAACAGUAUUUUGUUCCAAUAAAAACAUAACUCCUAAUGUCUCAGUUGGUAGUCCCCGUUCCAUAGUUCAUGGCCUUUUCCUCCUCUCUCUGAGCGAAAAGAGCCCAUGGGGCGGCAGCGUGAGGGCACCGGCGACGGUCCAUUGGGUGGCGGUGCGGUGCUCGCCGGUGGAUAUAUUAUUGUAAAUGCUUAAACUUUUUAGCCUGUAGUGCUUCCUAAUCAUAAUACUUUAGUAUACUUUUUGGCUCCUAUUGAGUUAACAUGCUACAUCUGUACAUCUGCCUUUGGGUGGUUUUCCCUUUCCUUACAUAUAUUUAGUUCUGUAUUUCCAAGCUAUUGUUAUCUUACUAGACUGAGUGGUUGGGUACGCAUCCCUUUGUUUAGGACAAUUACAGCAAUGAAGUAGGAGGAAGAAGGAAUGCAGGCGAGCUUGUGAAAGUCACAACAGCAAAGAUCCACAGGUCAGCAAUCUUGGUUCCUCUGCUUCUGCACUGCAUAUAUAUAUAUUUUCUAGAAAUCUCUUUUUUUUGCAAUUUUUGUUAUUUUGCUUACUACAAGUAACAUGGAGAUGCCAUAUGAUUUUGUUCUGUUUGUAAAGAUGCAUAAGUCAGAGGAGGAACCAUGAAUUUUGAACAAGCAUUAGUUUGUGGCUCAUGGACGAAGAUUGCAAGUACUACUUUGUAACUAAUUUAGCUAAUCGCUCACCAAGUAGGUGAUUUAGCUAAUCGCUCACCAAGUAAUUAAUAUUUAAUCUGAAGUUGUAUAUUCACUCUAGGACAAUAGUGAUACGUCUUCUUCGUAUCUAUAAUUUUGAUUGUUCCAUGCUAAUAUUAUUCAACUUUCAUAUACUUUUGGCAACUUUUUAUACUAUUUUUGGGACUAGCAUAUUGAUCCAGUGCCCAGUGCCAGUUCCUGUUUGUUGCAUGUUUUAUGUUUCGCAGAAACCUCAUAUCAAACAGAGUCCAAACGGGAUAAAA